Molecule: ribosomal RNA, 492 nt
Filed under: uncultured bacterium
Lineage: Bacteria
Description: partial 16S ribosomal RNA
Rfam family: Bacterial small subunit ribosomal RNA
Source: RNAcentral
AGUGAACGCUGGCGGUAGGCCUAACACAUGCAAGUCGAGCGGCAGCACAGUAAGAGCUUGCUCUUACGGGUGGCGAGUGGCGGACGGGUGAGGAAUACAUCGGAAUCUACUUUUUCGUGGGGGAUAACGUAGGGAAACUUACGCUAAUACCGCAUACGACCUACGGGUGAAAGCAGGGGAUCUUCGGACCUUGCGCGAUUGAAUGAGCCGAUGUCGGAUUAGCUAGUUGGCGGGGUAAAGGCCCACCAAGGCGACGAUCCGUAGCUGGUCUGAGAGGAUGAUCAGCCACACUGGAACUGAGACACGGUCCAGACUUCUACGGGAGGCAGCAGUGGGGAAUAUUGGACAAUGGGCGCAAGCCUGAUCCAGCCAUACCGCGUGGGUGAAGAAGGCCUUCGGGUUGUAAAGCCCUUUUGUUGGGAAAGAAAAGCAGCAGGUUAAUACCCCGCUGUUCUGACGGUACCCAAAGAAUAAGCACCGGCUAACUUCGUG